This 450-nucleotide ribosomal RNA is filed under the name uncultured bacterium. RNAcentral describes it as "partial 16S ribosomal RNA". It matches the Rfam family "Bacterial small subunit ribosomal RNA", at positions 354 to 796 of the family's 1533-position model. The record is from RNAcentral.
GUAGGGAAUCUUCCACAAUGGACGAAAGUCUGAUGGAGCAACGCCGCGUGAGUGAAGAAGGUCUUCGGAUCGUAAAACUCUGUUGUUAGAGAAGAACGUGCAUGAUAGUAACUGAUCAUGUAAUGACGGUAUCUAACCAGAAAGCCACGGCUAACUACGUGCCAGCAGCCGCGGUAAUACGCAGGUGGCAAGCGUUGUCCGGAUUUAUUGGGCGUAAAGGGAACGCAGGCGGUUUUUUAAGUCUGAUGUGAAAGCCUUCGGCUUAACCGAAGAAUAGCAUUGGAAACUGGAAGACUUGAGUGCAGAAGAGGAGAGUGGAAUUCCAUGUGUAGCGGUGAAAUGCGUAGAUAUAUGGAGGAACACCAGUGGCGAAAGCGGCUCUCUGGUCUGUAACUGACGCUGAGGUUCGAAAGCGUGGGUAGCAAACAGGAUUAGAAACCCGGGUAGUCC